UCCGGAUUUUGGGAUUUUGGGAUCCGGAUUUUGGGAUCCGGGAUUUUGGGUUUGAUGCUCCCUGGGAUGGGGAAAUGCCAGGAAAAAAAAGGGAAUUUUGGGAUUUUGGGAUGGAAUUCCUGCCUGGAACAGAAUUCCGGGGAUUUUCCAUGGAUUUGAUGGGAUUCCCAUGGAUAUGAUGGAAUUUCCAUGGAUUUUUCCCAUGGAUUUUCCGGGAUUUGCAGGAGGAGGAGCCGAAGGCGCCGGAGCCGCCCGGGAAGGCCGAGGAGGCGCCGCUGAAGUCGCCGGACGUGAUCCAGGAGAAGAAAGUGGUGAAGAUCUCCUCGGACAUCUCCCAGAUGGAGGUAAAAACUGGGAAUUUCGGGAAUUUGGGGAAUUUUUGGGGA
This 386-nucleotide long non-coding RNA is filed under the name Chloebia gouldiae (Gouldian finch). RNAcentral describes it as "Erythrura gouldiae (Gouldian finch) lncRNA (ENSEGOG00005017790.1)". Lineage: Eukaryota; Metazoa; Chordata; Aves; Passeriformes; Passeridae. The record is from RNAcentral.